GUUCCCAUCGAUUAGUGGUCAGAUCAUCACGUUGUGGCCGUGGGGACGGGGGCUCGAAUCCCCCUGGGAACA
RNAcentral lists this transfer RNA (72 nucleotides) under Fibroporia radiculosa. RNAcentral describes it as "tRNA-His (GTG) (tRNA-His-GTG-2-1)". It matches the Rfam family "tRNA". From Rfam's summary of the family: Transfer RNA (tRNA) molecules are approximately 80 nucleotides in length. Their secondary structure includes four short double-helical elements and three loops (D, anti-codon, and T loops). The record is from RNAcentral. Lineage: Eukaryota; Fungi; Basidiomycota; Agaricomycetes; Polyporales; Fibroporiaceae. RNAcentral also lists the same sequence under 1 other name.